RNAcentral lists this ribosomal RNA (499 nucleotides) under uncultured bacterium. Its description in RNAcentral is "partial 16S ribosomal RNA". It matches the Rfam family "Bacterial small subunit ribosomal RNA", at positions 29 to 507 of the family's 1533-position model. The record is from RNAcentral.
ACGAACGCUGGCGGCGUGCUUAACCCAUGCAAGUCGAACGGGUCUGCCCUGUUUUUUGCGGGGUGGGUCAGUGGCGAACGGGUGAGUAACACGUGAGUAACCUGCCCCUCACUUCUGGAUAACCGCUUGAAAGGGUGGCUAAUACGGGGUGUUCUGGCUGUGCCGCAUGGUGUGGCUGGGAAAGAUUCACUUUUGUGGUGUUUUGGUGGGGGAUGGGCUCGCGGCCUAUCAGCUUGUUGGUGGGGUGAUGGCCUGCCAAGGCUUUGACGGGUAGCCGGCCUGGGAGGGUGGGCGGUCACACUGGGACUGAGAUACGGCCCAGACUCCUGCGGGAGGCAGCAGUGGGGGGUAGUGCACAAUGGGCGGAAGCCUGAUGCAGCGACGUCGCGGGAUGGAUGGAGGCCUUCGGGUUGUGAACCUCUUUCGCCGGUGAAGAAGGUCCUGCUCUUUGUGGUGGGGUUGACGGUAGCCGGGUUAUGAAGCGCCGGCUAACUACGUG